AAAGUUUCAUUAAAAAAUGAAAUUCAUAUCCCCAACUGACAGUCAUCAUGAUUCAAACAAAAAGUAAGUCUACCUGGGAAAAAAAAAGUAACAUAAUGAAAUCUUUAACACUAAAAGCAAAUACAAAGUACUAAAGUAAAAACUGUGAAUUUAACUUUCCUGAUUUUCACAACCAACAAAUACAUUACAGAAAAAGAGUAAAACA
This 205-nucleotide unclassified non-coding RNA is filed under the name Hevea brasiliensis (rubber tree). The record is from RNAcentral. Lineage: Eukaryota; Viridiplantae; Streptophyta; Magnoliopsida; Malpighiales; Euphorbiaceae.